CAGCCGCCGCGGUAAUACAGAGGGUGCGAGCGUUAAUCGGAAUUACUGGGCGUAAAGCGUGCGCAGGCGGUUUUGUAAGACAGAGGUGAAAUCCCCGGGCUCAACCUGGGAACUGCCUUUGUGACUGCAAGGCUAGAGUACGGCAGAGGGGGAUGGAAUUCCGCGUGUAGCAGUGAAAUGCGUAGAUAUGCGGAGGAACACCGAUGGCGAAGGCAAUCCCCUGGGCCUGUACUGACGCUCAUGCACGAAAGCGUGGGGAGCAAACAGGAUUAGAUACCCCAGUAGUCCCUGUCUCUUAUAA
RNAcentral lists this ribosomal RNA (301 nucleotides) under uncultured bacterium. RNAcentral's name for it is "partial 16S ribosomal RNA". It matches the Rfam family "Bacterial small subunit ribosomal RNA", at positions 509 to 809 of the family's 1533-position model. The record is from RNAcentral.